This 266-nucleotide ribosomal RNA is filed under the name uncultured bacterium. Its description in RNAcentral is "partial 16S ribosomal RNA". It matches the Rfam family "Bacterial small subunit ribosomal RNA", at positions 793 to 1055 of the family's 1533-position model. The record is from RNAcentral.
GUCCACGCCCUAAACGAUGUCAACUGGUUGUUGGUGGGGUUAAACCCAUUAGUAACGAAGCUAACGCGUGAAGUUGACCGCCUGGGGAGUACGGCCGCAAGGUUAAAACUCAAAGGAAUUGACGGGGACCCGCACAAGCGGUGGAUGAUGUGGUUCAAUUCGAUGCAACGCGAAGAACCUUACCUACCCUUGACAUGCCAGGGAGCCCGAUGAGAGUUGGGUGUGCCCGAAAGGGAGCCUGGACACAGGUGCUGCAUGGCUGUCGU